GAUGAACGCUGGCGGCGUGCCUAACACAUGCAAGUCGAACGGAGAUUACGGACGUAAGUUUUCGGAUGGAAGCCUGUAAUUCUUAGUGGCGGACGGGUGAGUAACGCGUGGGCAACCUGCCCUAUACAGGGGGAUAGCAGCUGGAAACGGCUGGUAAGACCGCAUAAGUCGGUUAAAUCGCAUGAUUUGAUCGGGAAAUGAGCAAUCAGGUAUAGGAUGGGCCCGCGUCCGAUUAGCCAGUUGGCAGGGUAAAAGCCUACCAAAGCGACGAUCGGUAGCCGGACUGAGAGGUCGGACGGCCACAUUGGGACUGAGACACGGCCCAAACUCCUACGGGAGGCAGCAGUGGGGGAUAUUGCACAAUGGAGGAAACUCUGAUGCAGCGACGCCGCGUGAGUGAAGAAGUAUUUCGGUAUGUAAAGCUCUAUCAGCAGGGAAGAUGAUGACGGUACCUGACUAAGAAGCCCCGGCUAACUACGUG
This 481-nucleotide ribosomal RNA is filed under the name uncultured bacterium. RNAcentral's name for it is "partial 16S ribosomal RNA". It matches the Rfam family "Bacterial small subunit ribosomal RNA", at positions 28 to 507 of the family's 1533-position model. The record is from RNAcentral.